Molecule: ribosomal RNA, 456 nt
Filed under: uncultured Sphingobacteriales bacterium
Lineage: Bacteria; Pseudomonadati; Bacteroidota; Sphingobacteriia; Sphingobacteriales
Description: bacterial SSU rRNA
Rfam family: Bacterial small subunit ribosomal RNA
Source: RNAcentral
ACAAGCGGUGGAGCAUGUGGUUUAAUUCGAUGAUACGCGAGGAACCUUACCUGGGCUCAAAUGUAUGUUGACGUAUUCUGAAAGGGAUACUUCUUCGGACAAUAUACAAGGUGCUGCAUGGUUGUCGUCAGCUCGUGCCGUGAGGUGUCGGGUUAAGUCCCCAUAACGAGCGCAACCCCUAUCAUUAGUUGCCAUCAGGUCAAGCUGGGGACUCUAAUGAAACUGCCUACGCAAGUAGUGAGGAAGGUGGGGAUGACGUCAAAUCAGCACGGCCCUUACGUCCAGGGCUACACACGUGCUACAAUGGCCGAUACAGAGGGCAGCUACCUGGUGACAGGAUGCAAAUCUCCAAAGUCGGUCUCAGUUCGGAUCGGAGUCUGCAACCCGACUCCGUGAAGUUGGAAUCGCUAGUAAUCGCGCAUCAGCCAUGGCGCGGUGAAUACGUUCCCGGGCCUU